Mustela erminea (ermine) is the source of this 1447-nucleotide long non-coding RNA. RefSeq lists it as uncharacterized. The record is from RefSeq and is a predicted model, not a curated record. The transcript has 5 exons. Lineage: Eukaryota; Metazoa; Chordata; Mammalia; Carnivora; Mustelidae.
GCCCGGCUCUCUCCGCUGCUCCCGCCUGGGUCCCGAGACCCGGUUUCUGAACCCCGACGUCCCAUCCAGCGAAAAACCAAAGCGUUCCAAUAUGUGGCCAAGCGGCCACCCAGCAAGCCUGCGAUAGGCCCCCGGCAGGUCCGGAGAUGCGAGGCAUUGAGCGCUCUUGAGGGCAGCAUCUGCCGGCAGUUCUAGGCGAUUUGGAGCUACCACCCCAGCGUUUGUUAAAUGAAGGAAGCUUUGCAUCGCGUAAAGCGCAGACAGCAGCAAGGUGACUGCAGCCAGCCUGGGAGAAUUCGUGCGUUCUCUGGUUGAACCCAGUCUUCCCGAGCACCUUCCUGGCGCCAGACCCUGGGGUGUGACUUGCAUGUGUCUCAUGCAGCCCUCCUGGUACAGCUCGCAGAAAUUGUGAGUUGUGUGGAUUCUCUUUACCUCCUCCAAGUCCUCAUUGGGUCACAGGGUAGAGGUUGGAACAUUAGAAGUAGAAAGAGGCCACAGCUGGGACUGAAGGGGGAGACAGUGUUGAUCUUCCCCAAGGUGUUCACUCAUUGCUCUGUCAUUUCCCCGUAUCUUUGCUUACUUUCUCCAUUUGCCUGGAAAGUUCUUUCCCUCCAUCUCCAUUUUAAUGACUGUGGCAGGGGGAAUGCUAAAAAUGGCUCCCAAGACUCCAGUUCUCUAAUCCCUAGAACCUAUGGAUAUGAUGAAUUAUCACUCCCAUGACUGUGCAGCAUUUGAAUGUAUUUGAAUGUCAGAUGGCACAGUUAACUUUCGUAGGUUUCUCUGGGUGAAUCUGAGCUAAUCACACGAGCUCUUUUAAAAGCAGACUUUUCUGGUAGCAGAAGAGGAGGUCAUGGAUUUGAAGCAUGAGGGGAAUUUGACACAUCAUUGCUGGUGUGAAAUGGAGAAGACUGCAUGCCAAGGAAGAUGGACAGCUUUUGGGAGUAAUCCCAGCUGACAUCUAGCAAGGAAAUGGGGACUUCAGACCUACUACUGCAAGGAACAGCAGUUGACCAACAACUUGAAGGAGGAUGGAAGCAGAGUCUUCCCUAGAACUUCUGGAUAAGAGACCAGCUUGCCCACACCUUGAUUUUGGUGAGAUCUUUGUGAGACCCUAAAGGGAGGACCCAGUUGAGCCCACCUAGGACUUCUGAUCUUCCAAUCUGUGAGAUAAAUCGUGGGGGCUACUUUAAGCUGCUGAGUUGUGGUAAUUUGCUAUAGCAACAAUAGAAAAUGAAUCCAAUGACAUAGGAAGAAGGUUGUUGAGCACAGUGGGUAUUACUUUUAACCAACUUGUUGGGCUUAAUAGAUUCCAUGUGUAAGAAUUGCUUCCGAAGCCCUCAGCAGGCAGCCUGAACACUUCCACUGCUGGCCACCAGAAGAUACUCCUGUCCUCUCUACAGCUGCUGGUAGGGGAGCCCAACACAGGGCUUGAACUCAUGACCCAGAU